This 279-nucleotide ribosomal RNA is filed under the name uncultured bacterium. Its description in RNAcentral is "partial 16S ribosomal RNA". It matches the Rfam family "Bacterial small subunit ribosomal RNA", at positions 28 to 292 of the family's 1533-position model. The record is from RNAcentral.
AGUGAACGCUGGCGGCAGGCCUAACACAUGCAAGUCGAGCGGCAGCGGGUCCCCGCGAGGGGAUGCCGGCGAGCGGCGGACGGGUGAGGAACACAUCGGAAUCCUGCCUGGUUGUGGGGGAUAACGUAGGGAAACUUACGCUAAUACCGCAUGCGACCCUGAGUCGACGGACUUGGGGUGAAAGUGAGGGACCUUCGGGCCUCACGCGACCAGAUGAGCCGAUGUCGGAUAGCUAGUUGGCGGGUAACGGCCCGCCAAGGCGACGAUCCGUAGCUGGUC